This 677-nucleotide ribosomal RNA is filed under the name Geastrum sp. RNAcentral describes it as "partial large subunit ribosomal RNA". It matches the Rfam family "Eukaryotic large subunit ribosomal RNA", at positions 1 to 655 of the family's 3401-position model. The record is from RNAcentral. Lineage: Eukaryota; Fungi; Basidiomycota; Agaricomycetes; Geastrales; Geastraceae.
UUGACCUCAAAUCAGGUAGGACUACCCGCUGAACUUAAGCAUAUCAAUAAGCGGAGGAAAAGAAACUAACAAGGAUUCCCUUAGUAACGGCGAGUGAACAGGGAAAAGCUCAAAUUUUAAAUCUGGCGGCCUUACGGUCGUCCGAGUUGUAAUCUAGAGAAGUGUUUUCCGCGCUGGACCGUGUACAAGUCCUUUGGAACAAGGCGUCAUAGAGGGUGAGAAUCCCGUCUACGACACGGACUACCAGUGCUUUGUGAUACACUCUCAACGAGUCGAGUUGUUUGGGAAUGCAGCUCAAAAUGGGUGGUAAAUUCCAUCUAAAGCUAAAUACAGGCGAAAGACCGAUAGCGAACAAGUACCGUGAGGGAAAGAUGAAAAGCACUUUGGAAAGAGAGUUAAACAGUACGUGAAAUUGUUGAAAGGGAAACGCUUGAAGUCAGUCGCGUCUUCAGAAACUCAGCCUAGCUUUUUUGCUUGGUGUACUUUUCUGUAAGACGGGCCAGCGUCAGUUUUGGCUGUCAGAAAAAGGUGAGAGGAAGGUGGCACCUCCGGGUGUGUUAUAGCCUCUCAUCGUAUGUGACGACCGGGACUGAGGACCGCAGCACGCCUUUAUGGCCGGGGUUCGCCCACGUAACGUGCUUAGGAUGCUGGCGUAAUGGCUUUAAACGACCCGUCUU